Molecule: non-coding RNA, 1945 nt
Organism: Punica granatum (pomegranate)
Lineage: Eukaryota; Viridiplantae; Streptophyta; Magnoliopsida; Myrtales; Lythraceae
Source: RefSeq, a predicted model, not a curated record
UUAACUUCCUCAAUGCAAUGUAAUCCUUACAAUCUAAUAAUAACCAAGUGGAAACAAAGCAAUGGGAUCGUUUAUAUAGAGAACAUAGACAGAUAGAUGAGGUAAGGUGGAGAGCAGGGGGAGAGAGAUGCCGAGUGCUUCUUCAUCAUCGUCAUUGACAUUGCUCCAGUCACAGAUCAGUGGCCUCGGUGGGGACCUCAAGCUUCUGAAGCCAUCUCUUCCUCAACCCGGAUCGCUCACCUUCACAAAAAAGGAAAGUUCAGACAGUUACGAAGGCAACUUCACGAGUGACGAGUUGAUAAGUUCUCAAAAAGUGAUAUCAUCGUUUCUCCAUCGAUCCUCUGCUAACUUUGCCAAGCUAGGAGAGCAGGUAAAGGCUGUGGAGGUAGAAGACUGUGAUUGGAUCCAUGUAGAUGUGAUGGAUGGUCGUUUCGUACCAAACAUCACCAUUGGGCCACUUGUUGUCGAUGCACUCUGUCAUGUUACUGAUCUCCUCUAGAUGUGCAUUUGAUGAUUGUUGAACCUGAACAGCGUGUUCCCGAUUUCAUUAAGGCUGGUGCUGACAUAGUCAGCGUUCAUUGCGAAAAAUCAGCUACCUUUGCAAGAUCGCAAACGAUCUGGAUCAAUUUGACAAUGAUGGUCGACCUGGUCCUAAUAAUGUCUGCCAGUCCCUGGUUCAGUGGACAGAGUUUUAUCGAAGUCAAGUGACGAAAAUCUCCGACUUGAGACGAAUGUGCCUAGAAAAGGAACUUCUGUCGACUCCUUAAUACUUCUUUAAACUUACCUUAUAUCGCAUUGACUUGCACAUGGGUAAACUUUGCUGUAUAUCUUCUUCUAGGGAGUCUGGAGUUGGUCAACAAAUGCUUACAAGGGGCUUCUCCGAUCCUCAGUCUCUCUCCAUUUCGUUGAAGAAUUUAUCCGUCUUACGAUUUGUGUGGAAUGUUAGGUUAUUGAAGCAGGAGCCAAUGCUCUUGUGGCCAGUCCUGCAGUCUUCGGAGCUAAGGAUCAUGCUGAAGUAAGAGGAAUCAAAACAAGCAAGAGCCCAGUAGCUCAGUUUACAUUCUUAGAUAUUCUUGAAGGAUGAUCUACCUCAGUUUGUCGUCAUUUGCUUAAGUUGCUUCGCGCAUUGGAUUGCAGCUUUCCUUCACAGGAUCGACUGAGACUGGUACAAGCUCGAAUACUGGUUCAACAUAAGUUACACAUCUAUGAUGAAAGCAAACAUCGAAAGGUUCAAAAUCUUUCUGGGAUUUCUGUAUGGGGCCAACGUUGCUGUGCUGGAUCUCGAUUUUUGUGCAUGAGCGAGUUGACAACGAGUUUGUGGAGAAAGCAAAGGCCUGUGCAAUGAAUCGGGUGGUUGGUGAUCCCUUCACGAAGGGUGUCAAACAAGGUCCUCAGAUUCAUAGAGAGCAGUUUGAGAAAGUUCUUUGGUACAUAAGAUAUGGAAAAUAAAGCAGUGCAACUCUCGAAUGUCGAGGGGAAAGAAUCGGCUCCAAAGGGUUCUUCGUUCUGCCUGCGGUUUUCUCAAACGUUCAGGAUGAUUUGCCGAUAGCCCAGGGCAAGAUCUUUGGGCCAGUACAAUCUAUCUUGAAAGUCAAGCGAAUGCCACAAGGUAUGGCUUAGCAGCAGAGGUCUUCACGAAGAGCGUGGACACUGCGAACAUGCUGACAAAAGCCCUAAGGGUCGUGACAGUUUCGGUCUGCCGCUACGAUGUGUUCAAUGCUGUGAUCCCAGAAUUGGGUGGGAGAAGGGGAUCGAUAGCCUCAAAGUAUACUUGCAGGUGAAGGCCAUCGUCCCGCCUUCAAGCAAAUCCGCUUGAUUAUGAAAGUGAAGAUCUACAUAUCUACACAAACAGAGACAGAUAGAUAUCCGUCCAUUUGAUUGUUCAUCAAAAUAAGGGACAUAUGAAGAGGUUGCUGUGUAAUUCGAUGGAAUGAUAUGAUUUCUA